This 1094-nucleotide long non-coding RNA is filed under the name Piliocolobus tephrosceles (Ugandan red Colobus). Its description in RNAcentral is "lncRNA (ENSPTEG00000012584.1)". The record is from RNAcentral. Lineage: Eukaryota; Metazoa; Chordata; Mammalia; Primates; Cercopithecidae.
AACAUCAACACCAGAUGGAGUUAAAACGUCAACACCAGAUGGAGUUAAAACAUCAGUACUAACAGAAUUUUUAAAUUCAUAUAUAAUAUCUUUUCUUAAUUUGUAUCGUUCAACCAGUUGAUGUGGUAUUAUAUUACAAAGUAUUUGUAUAACAUUUAAAAUAUUUCCUUUAUAAUGAUCUAUCGAGUAAACUCCAUUAAUUACUAAAUCGUAUUUACUAAAAACUAAAGAUGGAAAGAUUAAACCUGGACAAUCACAUACAACAAAAUUAUAUUUAUUUAAAUAAAUCGUUUGAAACUGUUUGGUUUUACCAGGUUGUUUACUUACACUUACUUUUUUUUCACCAAGUAAAGUAUUAAUAAUUGAACUUUUUCCUACAUUUGGAAAACCUAAAAAUCCAACCAUAUAUUGUGGUAUAUUAUUAAUUGAUAUAACUUCAAUUUCAUGAUAAAAUUUUUUUAUUUUAUUUUUCAUUUUUUGUAUAAAUUCGAUUAAUUCUUCUGUGCUUAAUAUAUCUGUAUUAUCACUUUUUUUUUUUCAUAAAUUAAGUUACCAUAACCGACAUUAAGGACUUGUUUAUUCUCGUUUCUCUGUUUAUUAAGUAAGACGCCAUUUAUAUUUUUAUUAUUAUUACUACUGUCAUUAUUAUUAUUGUUACUACUGUCAUUAUUAUUAUUAUUACUACUGUCAUUAUUAUUAUUGUUACUGCUGUCAUUAUUAUUAUUAUUAUUAUUAUUAUUACUACUGUCAUUAUUAUUAUUGUUACUACUGUCAUUAUUAUUAUUAUUACUACUGUCAUUAUUAUUAUUAUUACUACUGUCAUUAUUAUUAUUGUUACUACUGUCAUUAUUAUUAUUAUUACUACUGUCAUUAUUAUUGUGAUUAUUUUCAUAGAUGUCAGAAUCAUUACGAUUAAUAAACAUGUUGUUAAUCAUGUUUGAAAGUACAUUACUAGUAAUAUUUUUUGCAAUUUCAUCAAACGUGUCAUAGUUAUUUGGUACAUAUUCUUGUUCAUACAUUUUUUCGUUUUUUGUAUGGUCAUAAACAGGUGAACAUUUUUCUGAGUGUAUUUUUCCACUGUUUAUUUUUUCACU